Molecule: ribosomal RNA, 497 nt
Filed under: uncultured bacterium
Lineage: Bacteria
Description: partial 16S ribosomal RNA
Rfam family: Bacterial small subunit ribosomal RNA
Source: RNAcentral
GAUGAACGCUGGCGGCGUGCCUAAUACAUGCAAGUCGAGCGAACGGACGAGAAGCUUGCUUCUCUGAUGUUAGCGGCGGACGGGUGAGUAACACGUGGAUAACCUACCUAUAAGACUGGGAUAACUUCGGGAAGCCGUAGCUAAUACCGGAUAAUAUUUUGAACCGCAUGGUUCAAAAGUGAAAGACGGUCUUGCUGUCACUUAUAGAUGGAUCCGCGCUGCAUUAGCUAGUUGGUAAGGUAACGGCUUACCAAGGCAACGAUGCAUAGCCGACCUGAGAGGGUGAUCGGCCACACUGCAACUGAGACACGGUCCAGACUCCUACGGGAGGCAGCAGUAGGGAAUCUUCCGCAAUGGGCGAAAGCCUGACGGAGCAACGCCGCGUGAGUGAUGAAGGUCUUCGGAUCGUAAAACUCUGUUAUUAGGGAAGAACAUAUGUGUAAGUAACUGUGCACAUCUUGACGGUACCUAAUCAGAAAGCCACGGCUAACUACGUG